GAGUAAAGAUGAGAUUGAGAAAGAGGAUGGAUGGGAGGGGGAGGUAACAAAAGUGAAAAUAAUUUUAAAUAGAUUUCAAUUUUUAGUUUUUGUUUCCACUUUUGUUACUCAUUCCCAUCCUCCCCUCUCAUCUUUUCUCUCAAUUC
RNAcentral lists this microRNA precursor (146 nucleotides) under Prunus dulcis (almond). RNAcentral describes it as "sRNA ncRNA". The record is from RNAcentral. Lineage: Eukaryota; Viridiplantae; Streptophyta; Magnoliopsida; Rosales; Rosaceae.